UCCUGCAUUGGGCUCCUUGCAGGGAACCUGCUUCAUCCUCUACCUGUGUCUCUGCCUCUCUCUCUGUGUCAUAUGAUUUUGGGCUGGACACGAGAACUCUUUACAAGCAAUUUGAGGAAGGUCUAUAUUUAUCCAAAACAAGCUAACAAGUCCUACCAAGCUGUCACUCUCCCCAUAUUCAUUGCAUAAUAUGUUAAAGGUGCAGGAAGAAAAGUCUCUGACUAGUCCUACUGCUUCAGAAGACCAGUCACCAUGGUUUCUACCAAUAGUAAUGAGAGAGCUUAUCUCUUGGCUUCAUUGUUGUCUCGAAAACACAAGCAAAUACACCUGGGAAGAUUCAAGAAGCUACUGUUUGGAUAGUUACACCAAAAUCAAAGAUCCAAGUCUAUAUAUGCUACAGGCCCAAGAAGAUUAAAAUGACCCGGGAGCAGCCAUACAUGAUAGUUCAGCACAACACUUGAUACCACCUUUGGGGAACAUGGCCUCUAACCCUGCAAAAUCCAGUGUUGGAAAAUAGAAUACUCAAAGUCAUUCAGUUAGGUCAUGGGGAGAAAUGAGCCAUCCCUCACCCUAGUCACAGCCAUCUGGUUUCCUUCUACAGCCUGCUAUCUCACUAAAGCUAAAGGAACAAGCUGAUCUGCUGGGAGCAAAUCAAUUUCUCAUUAUCCGUAAUGUGUGAAGAUGAAACUACUGACAGUGAUCACAGUCUUUGUCUAUGGAUAGGGUUGAAAACUCGUGUUUACAUAACAGAAAAUGUUUUCAUAUAGAAGAGAUGGAAUAGGCAUACAUGGCUGUGGGAUGCUGUGUCUUAAUGUGGAAGCUAAUUCCUCUCAACAAAUAAACUUAGUAUUUCUCUACAUACAGGGCUAACAUGCCUCUUUCUGAGAAUGUGGAGGAAUUUGAAAGAGGAAUGCAUUUAUCAAAUUCUUCAGAGUGCUUGAAAGUAUCUGUCUGACUGAUUUUAGAGAUGAGGGAAGUUUUCCCAUGAAGAGGAGUUCCCAGUAUAAUCCAUAAUAAAGGCGGGUGGUGCUUCACUUCUCAUCUCAAUCAUGCUGACUGGCGGAACUGAUAAAUAUAUCAUGGAAUUUCUAAGUGGUGGGAAUAUGGCAGAAAAGAUACAGCAAUAGGGAAUCGGAAAAGAAUAUGGAUUAUUUUCAUUUUUUAUUUGAUACUUGGGAUUUUUGGUUUCUUCUGACCUUAAGGAAGAUGCUGAAAGGUACACAAGACAUGGAUUGACUCAUCAGCUCCCCAAAAGGCUACAUAGUAAAACCAUUAAGUCCUUCCAUAGAAGUUAUGAAGUGGACGUCUGUCUAAGGGUAGGCAGGAGGAAUGUGUUAUUUCUAGAUUCAGGAAGCACUGGAGAGAGUAUCCAACUUAGUGCUUGUAGACUUUUCAAUAUAUGCUAGAAAGCCAGGAGUUACACACUUUCAGAAGCAACUUGAGAUGGGGUAGGAACAUAAGCUACAGUUGAAAGGAAUCAGUGGAAAAAUGAACACAAGGCAGCAUGCAAACUCACAUUUCUCACCUGAAACCUAUUUAAGUAGACUUCUCUUCCUUCUUGGUUGUCACUGUGAAAUAAAGAACAAAUGUUAAGCCUUUUCUGUGAUCCCCUGAAUUUACACAGUAAUCACAAGGAGAGGAAGUUCAGAAAUAUUUUUUUAAUUGAGAUGUAACUGACAUGUAACAUUAUAUUAAUUUCAAAUGUACAGCAUGAUUUGAUAUUGUGUCUACUGUGAAAUGAUUACUCCAAUAAGACUGGUCAGCAUCUGUUACCAUACAUAGUUAUACAAUGUUUUUUCUUGUAAUGAGAACUUUGAAAAUCUAUUCUCUAAGAAAAAAAACCUAGUCUUAUAGCAACUUUCAAAUAUGCGGUACAGUAUCAACUAGUCACAGUGCUGUACAUUAAUCCCCAUGACUUCUUUAUUUUAUAAUCCCCUUUACCUAUUUCACACCCCCCACCCCCACCUCUGAUAACCACCAAUCUCUUCUCUGUAUUUAUGAGAUUUUUUUUAGAUUCUGCAUAUGAGUGAGAUCAUAUAAGGCUAUAUAUAGCCUUUGCAGAAAUAGUCUAUUCCUCAGAUUGCAUAAUCUCAAUUAGCCUAUCUUCAAGUUCACUUAUUCUUUCUUUUGUCAACUUAAAUCUGCAGGUGAACCUAUCUGGUGGAUUUUUUUUUUUUCUGUUGUCACCCCUUUUAGGUCUAGAAUUUCUAUGUGUUUCUUUCUCUUUUUUGAUUUUUCCUAUUUGAUGAAACAUCCUCCUAAUACUUGCCUUUGGUUCUUUAGACAUGGUUUCUUUUUUAAUUAAUUGAAUACACUUAAAUUAUUUAAAGUCUUUGUUUAAAGCUUUAUUCAAAAUUUAAUGUCUGGUCUUCAUCAGGAACCAUUUCUAUCAACUGUUUUCUUUUGGGGGGGCAUAGGUCAUAUUUCAUUGUUCCUUUGAGUAUCUCAUAAGUUUUGUUUCAACAAAACUUUUUAUAAUAAAUUUGGCAUAUAAAUAAAUUUUUAAUAAUAAAUUUAGCAAUGCUGGAAACCAGGUCUCUAUUUUUCCCAGGGUUUAUUGUUGCUGUUUGUUGUUGUGGUUAUGAUUGCUGUCAUGGCUGUUGUUUCCUUAGUGACUAUUCUAGGUUAAUUCUGUAAAGUUUAUUUUCUUUGUCAUUUUGUGACUAUUGAAAUCUGUUUACUUGGUUAUUGGUCAGCAAAUGACUGGAUAGAGCUUUCUUUAAAUGGCUAUCACCAUAAAUCUCCCAAUCUCUGCUGAGGAGCUUAUGAGUGUUUAAAUUCUGUUUUGUUCUUUAAUUUCUGGUUGUGUAGAGAUUUGAGAUCAGUGAGAGAUGAGCCUUUAGGGCAUUCUCAGGUCUUCUUGAGAACCAGGGGCAUGUGCACAGCUCUUCACAUGUCCGUGGCCUCCUAGAUUCCUAGAAAUAUGUCAGAGCUUCUCAAACUGUCCUAUGGACAUAUCUCAUUUACCUUUUAAAUAUGUUAGUAAGCUUGUUGUUUGUUCUCACUGUUAACUGCUGUCCCAGGAAUCUGCAAUGUUAAACAAUUGUCACUGAUUUUUUUCAACAAAUUCCCCAUGGAAGAGGCUGCCACAU
Canis lupus familiaris (dog) is the source of this 3092-nucleotide long non-coding RNA. RefSeq lists it as uncharacterized. The transcript is spliced from 5 exons. Lineage: Eukaryota; Metazoa; Chordata; Mammalia; Carnivora; Canidae. The record is from RefSeq and is a predicted model, not a curated record.